RNAcentral lists this long non-coding RNA (302 nucleotides) under Gossypium barbadense (sea-island cotton). Its description in RNAcentral is "long non-coding RNA (GBAR_LNC010185)". The record is from RNAcentral. Lineage: Eukaryota; Viridiplantae; Streptophyta; Magnoliopsida; Malvales; Malvaceae.
UCAUUCAAUUUAAUUUAUAAACAAAUCAAUUCUUAAUGCAUAAUUAAUAAGUUUACUUAUUCGCUCCUCAUGGUAUUCAACAUUUGCUAAAUAGUCCAAAGUAUUUAAUAAUUAAAAUACAUCAAUUCUUUAUUUCAAUGUACCAUAACCGAAUGCUCCAUAUGCCUAUAUGAAUCCUUACAUAUCUUCAUUUCGCAAUUAACUUCCCAUUUAACAAUUUAUUUCAUUUUCAUACCAUAAACACAAAAUCACCUAACAUCUAAAUUUAAACCUCAAUAAUCAAACACCAACUCUUAUUUUCU